UACGUAGGGGGCAAGCGUUGUCCGGAUUUAUUGGGCGUAAAGCGCUCGCAGGUGGUUCGUCGCGUCGUGCGUGAAAGACCCCGGCUCAACUGGGGGAGGUCGUGCGAUACGGGCGGACUGGAGGCCAGUAGGGGGAUGCGGAAUUCCGGGCGUAGUGGUGGAAUGCGUAGAGAUCCGGAGGAACACCAGCGGCGAAGGCGGCAUCCUGGACUGGUCCUGACACUCAUGAGCGAAAGCGUGGGGAGCGAUCCGG
RNAcentral lists this ribosomal RNA (253 nucleotides) under uncultured bacterium. Its description in RNAcentral is "partial 16S ribosomal RNA". It matches the Rfam family "Bacterial small subunit ribosomal RNA", at positions 524 to 776 of the family's 1533-position model. The record is from RNAcentral.